Thalassophryne amazonica is the source of this 100-nucleotide long non-coding RNA. RefSeq lists it as uncharacterized. The transcript has 3 exons. The record is from RefSeq and is a predicted model, not a curated record. Lineage: Eukaryota; Metazoa; Chordata; Actinopteri; Batrachoidiformes; Batrachoididae.
UCAGAAUUCCUUUGGUUUUUGAAGGUCUCGAGAUGAAGGUAUUUUAAAUAGACAGACACGAUUUGUUAAUGAUAAACUAUUGUAGGCUUUAAUGGUACAU